CGCGCUGGACGACCAGCGCCUUGUUCGUUCCGGGGACGGCCCC
Molecule: non-coding RNA, 43 nt
Organism: Sinorhizobium sp. RAC02
Lineage: Bacteria; Pseudomonadati; Pseudomonadota; Alphaproteobacteria; Hyphomicrobiales; Rhizobiaceae
Source: Rfam